CCUACGGGAGGUAGCAGUAGGGAAUAUUGCUCAAUGGGGGAAACCCUGAAGCAGCAACGCCGCGUGGAGGAUGAAGGUUUUCGGAUUGUAAACUCCUUUUGUCAGAGAAGAUAAUGACGGUAUCUAACGAAUAAGCACCGGCUAACUCCGUGCCAGCAGCCGCGGUAAUACGGAGGGUGCAAGCGUUAUUCGGAUUCACUGGGCGUAAAGAGCGCGUAGGCGGGAUAGCAAGUCAGAUGUGAAAUCCUAGGGCUUAACCAUAGAACUGCAUUUGAAACUGUUAUUCUAGAGUAUGGGAGAGGUAAGUGGAAUUCUUGGUGUAGGGGUGAAAUCCGUAGAGAUCAGGAGGAAUACUCGUUGCGAAGGCGACCUACUGGAACAUAACUGACGCUGAUGCGCGAAGGCGUGGGGAGCAAACAGGAUUAGAUACCCGGGUAGUC
Molecule: ribosomal RNA, 440 nt
Filed under: uncultured bacterium
Lineage: Bacteria
Description: partial 16S ribosomal RNA
Rfam family: Bacterial small subunit ribosomal RNA
Source: RNAcentral